CACAGGACAAAUACGUCACUGGCAGACCU
Molecule: non-coding RNA, 29 nt
Filed under: Homo sapiens (human)
Lineage: Eukaryota; Metazoa; Chordata; Mammalia; Primates; Hominidae
Source: RNAcentral